GCUGGCUCCAGCUCACCUGCACUCUUGCCAGGGAGUGCUUGGUCUUCAGAUUUUCCCCUUUUUUGCUUGAUUAAUACAACACCAAUUCCCUGCUGCCCAGCCUUCUGGGAGGCACAUUUUGCCCUUAAUUCAGCUGACCUCAGCUCGUGAGCUAAAAUCAGGGAGCAGAGGAUGACUGGCGUUUCUCGGUUGUGAAAACCAUGGAUGCAUUUCAGCAAAGUCUAAGAAUCUUUCAAGCCAAGGCAAUGACGAGGGGUCUCUGCAGGUGCCUCCUUUUCUUCUUCCUGCACAUGGGGAGAGGGGGGCCUCUUCUGGUCUCUAAAUGGAAGCGGAUCACAUCUGGAGGGAUCAGUUGGUGGCCACAUCUUGAGCCCUCUGAAGCCAGGCAAGCCUCUGUUGUUUGUUUAAUAGCGGUCAGAGAAAACGUGUGGGAAACAGUUCUUAGUAAACAAAAGGAGGGACCUUUGAUGUAAACAGAAGCAUUUUCUCCUGGUCUUUUCCCUAAAGUCCCUGUCUCUGACAGAGAUAGGCAGGAAAAAAUGAACUUUGCUUCAAGAAGCUGGUUUCUCUGGAUCCCUGAGUGGAUCAUGAUAUAGCUGGGUCUUGAUGUGUGUUGGCAUGUGUGUGUGAAUGUGUGUUUGUGUGUGUGUGUAUGAGUGCAUGCACAUACAUGUGUCAGUGGCUGUGGAGUAACGCAGAAUCCAGGUGUUUCCUAAGCGGGUCUCGAAGUGGCUUCUGCCUAGAGUCAAUAGGUGAGAUUCAAUUCGUGAACAAUUAUCAAGUGCUCUGGUUGUUGCUGACGACAAGAAGGUGCCAAGGCUGUCAGGAGUUUACAGGCUAUCUAUACCACGCCAGGCCACACCAGGCUUGUGGGGGACAAGGGAUGCCUGCUGGGAUCACUGGCCAGAGGUAGGCACGGCUGCUGCUUGUUGGAACGGCACAUUCUACAAUAACAAAAUACAAAGGCCCGUUUUCUUGUGGGCCCCAGCUAAGCCGAAAACAGACAGCUGUGCGGAUGACUUGCCCACCUCAGCUAGGUGGUCAAGGCACCUCAACUCUUCAGACAGCAAACUUGAGACCACACUCUCACACCAAGGGGUUUCAGAGUUUGGGAGCUCAUUAUACCAACAACAUGGACAGCUCCCGUUUAUUGAGGUUUCACCACGUGUUGGCUGGACAGUUCUGAGCCCUUCAUUUGAAUACCCUGACUUUUAUCCUCCUCAAAGACACUGUGAGUUAGACACUACAAUAGACAAUCACAUUUCCAAUGCCCUUGGGGCCAGAGGUGUUUCAGAUUCAAAAUUCUUUGACUUUCAGAAAGACGAUAUGGUGAACAUGCUGUGCCUUGAAUGCCCCCAACUUCUCUCACUGUCCAGCCAACUCCUAUCCAUCCUUCAAAGGCCACUCAAAUGCUUCUUCCUCGGUGAGGCAUUUGCUGAUCCUCAUCAGCCCAUAAUGAAUGAUUGUGAACUCCUUGGCCCUGCUCAAAGCAGCACAGUUCCUAAUUAAACUCUCCAGAAACACCUUCAGCUAAGCUUUAACCAGAUGCCAGAGGCCCUGCAUGCUCUUUGGGAUCUGAAAUAGCCCGGCAUCAACCCCAUGCAGAAGUCCAAAUUCCCCACCCUGCCGAAGUCUGCAGACCCCCAGGGCAGGUCUCAUUUGCAGUCCCUGUGCCCUGCAGGCUCCUCUUCCUCCAAGCUGUUUCUUUCACAUAAUAACCAGGCUCCUUUUGACACCCACCGAGAAGCCACUUGACAAAGCACAUGUGAGAACACCUGCCUCUAUUGGACAUUUGUGCUUGGGGAGGGUGGCACAGUGGGGAUAUUGUUUCUGGAGUUACACAACCCAGCUCACAGUGAAAGUGGUCCUGUUUUAAAUGUCCCCUUCUGGACAGCCUGGUCCCCUACCUCACGGUGUCCCAAGCGCCCCACCUUCUCACUGGCCCUUGCUCUUCCCCUCACUUCCCUCUGCCCUCUUCUAACCUCUGCUCCAUCCUCUUAGGUAAAACCAACUGCUGUCUUCUCCUUGCAGAGGAAACUGACCCACUCUUUCCCUUGCUUGGGCCCCUCCUGACACCUUCUCACCCAUGCCCUAAGCCUAAGGCUCCCAAAUACCACCACAAGCAGCUCACUAAGACUUUCCCCCAAAGCAAGCGCAUCCACCCCCGAGGAUAUUAAAGGCAGCAGGUAAAAUGAUAAAAACAGUUUGGCUUAUGACUGUUGUUUACCUGCCUAUCUUGCUCGCGCUGUUUGUCUCUUUUGCUCUGCUCACUGUCCUCAGCCUCUAGCACGAUGCUGGAUGCAUAGUAGGGCUUUGGUAAGUGAUUACAAAAUGAAUGCAUGCAUGAUAAAUGAAGACUACUCCCGAGAGGCAGUACGAACGCAGAGAUUUAUUUUCUGCAAGAGCAUGAAAGACGUAACAGGAGAGAGAGCACGCGACUGUGUGUGUGGAUGUGUGUUUUCUGGGAGGGAAGUCAGGGAUGUUAGGCCUGGAAAUGUGUAAAGGGAGAAAGAGACAAGAUGAGCCAGGCCCCUGAGGUCAGGUGGGCAAGGCUGGAGGCCUGAGGCUUGAGACAACCCAGCGGCCUAGUGAUGAAGGGCAGCCACGGUGAACUUGACCUUCCUGGUAUGUAAAUGAGGACAGAGCAUCACAGGGGAGGUCUGCCCCCAGCACCCCCUGCCCCUGAGCAGGACGCCCACACUGUUCAGAAUGAUGGGACUGCAUCUGCUGUUAUAUUGAAGAUGCCCAUUUGCAUCUAAUAAACCAUCAUUGAGUCCCUACUGUGUGCCAAGCCCUAUGUUAGGUGCUGGGGAUAUAAAGGUAGGAAGAGGCUCACAGUGUAGGGGAGGAACACAGUUGUAAGCAGAUGAUCCUAAUCUAGAGAGCAGAGCUAGGGACCCUGAGCUUGCACCCUGGAGCUGGUCUGCCUAGGAAGGCACUGGGCAACACUACCUUAACGUGUGACCUGAGGAAAGUUGUUUGACAUGCGGUGCCUUCCUCGCUGUGUUGUUGUGGGCUGUAAACAGGUUAAUAUGCAUCAAAUCCUCGGGGCACUGGAGGGCAGACGGCAUGCUCUGCCUGAGUUUGAUAUACUACCCCUACUAAUGAUAAUGGUAAUUAUUAUUAUGCUGUGACAAAUGCUAUGGCAGUCCCUGCCAUGGCACCCAAGGCCCUCCAUGGUCUAGCCCUUCCCUGACUUCAAUUCUUAACACUCUCCCCUCCUACUCUAGACCAGGGUUUCUCAACCUAAGCAUGGUUGGUGUGUGGGAUCCAAGAGAAUUCUCUGGGGUGUGUGUGUGUGUGUGUGUGUGUGUGUAAGGUAGGGAGGCUGUCCUGUGGGCUGUAGGAUGCUUAGCAGCACCCUUGGCCUCUACUCACUAGAUGCUGGUAACAUCACCUCUCUCCCCAGCUAUGCCAUCCAGAAAUGUUUGCAGACAUUGCCCAACAUCCCCUGGGUGCAAGGGAGAGGGAGUAAAACUGCCUUUGAUAGAGAACCACUGCUCGAAACACACCCAUCUCCUUGCUCAAAUACAUAAGCUUACUUAGACCUCAGGGUCUUAGCACCUGCUGCUCCCUCUACCUGAGUGCUCUUUCCCUGGAUAACAGAUGGCUCAGUCCCUCACUGUUUUCAGGCCUCUGGUCAAAUGUCACCAUUGGCCAGGCCCAGUGGCUCACACCUGUAAUGGAAACACUUUGGGAGGCCAAGGCAGAAGAAUUGCUUGAGGUCAGGAGUUUGAGACCAGCCUGGGCAACAUAGUGAGACCCCAGCCUUACAAAACUUUAAAACACUAGCCAGACAUGGUGACAUGUGCUUGUAGCCCUAGUUAGUUGGGAGGUUGAGGCAGGAGGAUCACUUGAGCCCAGGAGUUUGCAGCUGCAGUGAGCUAUGAUUGUACCACUAUACUCCAGCCCAGGUGACAGAGUGAAACCCUGUCUCAAAACAAAAAUGAAAACAAAAACAGUCACCACCUCCUCAUAGAGGCCUUCUCUGGCCACUGCAUAAAUACACACACACACACACACACACACACACACACACACACACACACACACACACACUCUUCACAUGUUUCAUGUCUCAUAAACUCCCUUUCUCAACCCACCCUGUAGCCAGUCCACAUCUAACAGGAGUCAAAAGUGGCCUGAUUUAGAAGGCAGCCAGCCCAAUCAAGGCAAGAAAAGUGCCAGGUUGCAUCUGCCCCUAAACCUGGCUCAUCUGGACUGUGCCUCCCGCUCCUCCCUGGGCUGACCAGGCUGAGCCUUGGAGAGCAUCUGUAUCUCCCUGUUGGUUUUGGAUGAAAUGACAGAGGCCCAGAGAGAUGAGGGCAGAUUCCCCCACAGUCCCACAGAGAGUUGGUGGCAGUGUAGGAACCAUCUUUUCUGAUCCCAGGCAGGAAUGGUGUUCUCUAAAAGCAAAGAUUGAAAGGGAGGCUGGUUGAGGCUUCCUAACACAGAAUUAGGCAAAGUUGUUUAUCUGCAGAAUGAGGGUAGAAGUCCCUUGUGAGAGUGCUGAGGAGAUUAAAUGAGAAUGUUUAUGAAGCACCCAGCACAUGCCUGGUGCGAU
This 4564-nucleotide long non-coding RNA is filed under the name Homo sapiens (human). Its description in RNAcentral is "HSALNT0194476". The record is from RNAcentral. Lineage: Eukaryota; Metazoa; Chordata; Mammalia; Primates; Hominidae.